Molecule: ribosomal RNA, 713 nt
Filed under: Macrostylis sp. ML12
Lineage: Eukaryota; Metazoa; Arthropoda; Malacostraca; Isopoda; Macrostylidae
Description: bacterial SSU rRNA
Rfam family: Eukaryotic small subunit ribosomal RNA
Source: RNAcentral
AUGCAUGUCUGAGUACAGACCGAUCUAAGGUGAAACCGCGAAUGGCUCAUUAAAUCAGUCGUAAUUUCUUGGAUAGUGAAAAACUUUCCUCGGAUAACUGUGGAAAAUCCAGAGCUAAUACGUGCAACUGAGCUCCGACCUCGGCGAGAGCCUUGGGAAGAGCGCAUUUAUUAGAUUCAAAACUGACCGGUGUACUCCUUCGGGAUACGCCGUUUGUCAAAUGUUUGAUGACUCCGGAUAACUUAGCCGAGCGCUACGGUCUCUGUGCCGGCGCCGUAUCUUUCAAGUGUCUGCCUUAUCAGCUUUCGAUUGUAGGUUAAACGCCUACAAUGGCUGUAACGGGUAACGGGGAAUCAGGGUUCGAUUCCGGAGAGGGAGCCUGAGAAACGGCUACCACAUCUAAGGAAGGCAGCAGGCACGCAAAUUACCCACUCCCAGCCCGGGGAGGUAGUGACGAAAAAUAACGAUGCGAGACUCUUCCGAGGCCUCGCAAUCGGAAUGAGUCCAUCCUAAAUCUUUGGACGAGGAUCCAUUGGAGGGCAAGUCUGGUGCCAGCAGCCGCGGUAAUUCCAGCUCCAAUAGCGUAUAUUAAAGUUGCUGCGGUUAAAAAGCUCGUAGUUGGACUUUCUAGAUCCAUUUCGUGGGUGAGUCGCUCGUCGCUCUGGAGUGUCGCGUCAGUCACUAGAUAGCUUUGCGUUUCGGCGUAUGUUUAC